AGGCGUAGCCCAUAGGCGCCCAUGGAACGGCAAAAAACCGACCCUCUCUCUGAGCGCCCCGCCCCGCCCCCAUGGCCUGAAGGAGCAUAGGAUGAGAACUAUCCCGGGGACCAAUCAGCAUGCGCGCCCGGAAUGGACGAGCCCCCCUCUCUGCACCCAAUCAUCUGCGAACGUGCCCUACAAAACAUCCGGCCAGCGCCGCCCAAACCCCAGGUGCCCUGACUCUGGCGCUCCCGCCUGGUGAUGACCGACAGAGCGCUGACAGGCACGUCCAGGGCAGGGCUGCUCCCCCGCGUCCCGCCCUCCCCAA
This is a long non-coding RNA of Eublepharis macularius, 310 nucleotides long. RefSeq lists it as uncharacterized. Lineage: Eukaryota; Metazoa; Chordata; Lepidosauria; Squamata; Eublepharidae. The record is from RefSeq and is a predicted model, not a curated record. The transcript has 3 exons.